GCAGAUCUCCUUCGGGAGUGACGCUUGUGGAACGAGCGGCGGACGGGUGAGUAACACGUGGGCAACCUACCUGUAAGACUGGGAUAACUCCGGGAAACCGGGGCUAAUACCGGAUGAAACAAAGCGUCGCAUGACGCAAUGUUAAAAGGCGGCAUAUGCUGUCACUUACAGAUGGGCCCGCGGCGCAUUAGCUAGUUGGUGAGGUAAAGGCUCACCAAGGCAACGAUGCGUAGCCGACCUGAGAGGGUGAUCGGCCACACUGGGACUGAGACACGGCCCAGACUCCUACGGGAGGCAGCAGUAGGGAAUCUUCCGCAAUGGACGAAAGUCUGACGGAGCAACGCCGCGUGAGUGAUGAAGGUUUUCGGAUCGUAAAACUCUGUUGUUAGGGAAGAACAAGUGCCAUUCGAAUAGGUUGGCACCUUGACGGUACCUAACCAGAAAGCCCCGGCUAACUACGUGCCAGCAGCCGCGGUAAUACGUAGGGGGCAAGCGUUGUCCGGAAUUAUUGGGCGUAAAGCGCGCGCAGGCGGUCCUUUAAGUCUGAUGUGAAAGCCCACGGCUUAACCGUGGAGGGCCAUUGGAAACUGGAGGACUUGAGUACAGAAGAGGAGAGUGGAAUUCCACGUGUAGCGGUGAAAUGCGUAGAGAUGUGGAGGAACACCAGUGGCGAAG
RNAcentral lists this ribosomal RNA (675 nucleotides) under Virgibacillus dokdonensis. Its description in RNAcentral is "bacterial SSU rRNA". It matches the Rfam family "Bacterial small subunit ribosomal RNA", at positions 69 to 720 of the family's 1533-position model. The record is from RNAcentral. Lineage: Bacteria; Bacillati; Bacillota; Bacilli; Caryophanales; Bacillaceae.